RNAcentral lists this ribosomal RNA (429 nucleotides) under Pseudomonadota bacterium. RNAcentral describes it as "Proteobacteria bacterium partial 16S ribosomal RNA". It matches the Rfam family "Bacterial small subunit ribosomal RNA", at positions 355 to 776 of the family's 1533-position model. The record is from RNAcentral. Lineage: Bacteria; Pseudomonadati; Pseudomonadota.
UGGGGAAUAUUGGACAAUGGGCGAAAGCCUGAUCCAGCCAUGCCGCGUGUGUGAAGAAGGUCUUCGGAUUGUAAAGCACUUUAAGUUGGGAGGAAGGGCAGUAAGCGAAUACCUUGCUGUUUUGACGUUACCGACAGAAUAAGCACCGGCUAACUCUGUGCCAGCAGCCGCGGUAAUACAGAGGGUGCAAGCGUUAAUCGGAAUUACUGGGCGUAAAGCGCGCGUAGGUGGUUCGUUAAGUUGAAUGUGAAAGCCCCGGGCUCAACCCGGGGAACGGAAUCAAAACCGGGGGGGUAGGGGAAGGGCGAAGGGUGGGGGAAUUUCUGGGGUGCGGGUGAAUGGGGAGAUAUAAGGAGGGAACACCAUUGGGAAGGCGGACAACUUGGGCUAUAAUGACAACGGGGUGGGAAAGGGUGGGGAGCAAACAGG